CAUGCAGUCACCCAGGUCAUAAAAUGCUGCAGUUCAAAGGACCACUACAGAGACACUACAGAUAUACUCACCACACUGUUGAGAGAGAGAGAGAGAGAGAGAGAGAGAGAGACUCUGAUAAAGUAGUCCCUGUCUCAACAACAUGCUGGAGAGACAUACAGAGGGGACGGACACAGGAUGUGAAGAGAGCAGGUGGCUGACAGUCUCACAGCAACAGAAAUGGGAGGCUGUGGAGGAUAUGACAAACAGCCCUCAUUCAGUCAGCAGACUAACUGGACAGCUCUACUGUACGCCACAGGGGACAGACCCUUGGCAGGCAGAGAGGUCGCUGAGCUCUGAGAACAACAGUUAGUUGGGUGGAUCUUCUUCACAGCUCUACUGUUAAGAGGCAGUGUCCAAAGUGUGGAGGAUGAUGUCACACGUCAGCUGUCCUCAUAGCUGGGCUACCAUGGCAACGACAUUCAUCAGAAUGACUUCCUGCAAAAGCAAAGCACUGUCACGAUCACUUUCUGUACUGACAGAUCACUUUAUAAGGAUAAUUAUUGUGUUUGUGUAAGGUAAAGCAUUGAAAUGCUAUGCCAAAUGAGUGGACUGUCUUUGUAAAUCUACUUGUCAUCCAUGUCACAACUGCUGCACAGAGUUUCUAAAUAAGCAAAGUGUCCUCCAAAAUCUUUGCUGCUGCCACGCAACCACUGCAUCCCUAUUGUCCGGCAGGGAAAGUCUUCCCCCAGAGGCUGGUUUCACAUGGUGGUUUAGAUUAAUGUUCCCAGUGUCUAGCACCAUUUGAAAUCAGUGUUCUUGGGGACAGGAGAACAGCACUGGGCCUCUGGUAGUGUCAGUCAGUCUAUUGGAGCCAUCCUCUCUCUCUCUCUCCCCUUUAAAGGAUGACUGAUUUCCUCUGGUGUUUAGAGCCCCUUAAAGCCUUCUAGCACCAUUUGAAAUCGGUUAUAAUGACUGGGGAUCAAUGCCUCAAUGUCUUCACGAUGUCUACAUGUCAACUCUACAGUCAAGCAGACAGGAAAUGAAUUGGAUGAAUGUUCAUAUUAUACGUGUCACAGGGUCUGCUCUACAGAUCCUGGAAUCGCAAUGAGUUGGACAGGAGCUCAAUUCCAGUGGGACAGUUUUAAAGUGUUUAUUGAAUAAAUGUUCAACUAAA
Molecule: long non-coding RNA, 1156 nt
Organism: Oncorhynchus tshawytscha (Chinook salmon)
Lineage: Eukaryota; Metazoa; Chordata; Actinopteri; Salmoniformes; Salmonidae
Source: Ensembl